Molecule: ribosomal RNA, 216 nt
Filed under: Glomeromycotina sp.
Lineage: Eukaryota; Fungi; Glomeromycota
Description: partial small subunit ribosomal RNA
Rfam family: Eukaryotic small subunit ribosomal RNA (bases 40-216)
Source: RNAcentral
GGGUCAGUAGGUUGGUCGUGCCACCGGUACGUACUGGUCUCACUGAUUCCUCCUUCCUGAAGAACCGUAAUGCCAUUAAUUAGGUGUUGCGGGGAAACAGGACUGUUGCUUUGAAAAAAUUAGAGUGUUUAAAGCAAGCUAACACUUGAAUACAUUAGCAUGGAAUAAUGAAAUAGGACGAUCGAUCCUAUUUUGUUGGUUUCUAGGAUUGACGUA